RNAcentral lists this long non-coding RNA (207 nucleotides) under Rhipicephalus microplus (southern cattle tick). Its description in RNAcentral is "uncharacterized LOC119179782, transcript variant X1". Lineage: Eukaryota; Metazoa; Arthropoda; Arachnida; Ixodida; Ixodidae. The record is from RNAcentral.
GCUACCCUGUGUCUGCCCUCGCUCCAGGUGCUUCGAAGUACUAUGGAAAACAAGGUGUUACCUACAAGUGCUUAUUAGGCGAAUGCGACCAACGACAAGCUUGUAAUCCUGUGGAUCUCUUGGUCGACUGUUGGGCACCUAAAGCUAAUCAAAUAAACGGGGAAACUUGAAAGAUUGUGUUUUAAAUAAAUUUGAUCUCGUUAUAUU